AAUCAAGUGCCUUAAGGGUGUUCGGUGGAUGCCUUGGCGCUGAGAGGCGAUGAAGGACGUGCUACGCUGCGAUAAGCCGUGGGGAGCUGCGAAGAAGCUUUGAUCCGCGGAUUUCCGAAUGGGGAAACCCACCUUCGAUAGCCGGAACUCCAAGACCUUGUGUGUUGGGGUUCGACCAGAAAUGCGAGAAAUCAAACCGCGAGGUUUUGGAUUUCCGGUUAUCAAGAGAAGGUAUGAGACCUCCGAAUAAAAUAGGAGGUUUUAAGCAAACCCAGGGAACUGAAACAUCUAAGUACCUGGAGGAAAGGACAUCAAUCGAGACUCCGUUAGUAGUGGCGAGCGAACGCGGACCAGGCCAGUGAUACAUCAAAGACAAUCGGAACCUGUCAGGAAAGCAGGCCUCAGAAGGGUGAUAGCCCCGUACGAGUAAUGCGAUGAU
RNAcentral lists this ribosomal RNA (439 nucleotides) under Bradyrhizobium elkanii. RNAcentral's name for it is "bacterial LSU rRNA". It matches the Rfam family "Bacterial large subunit ribosomal RNA", at positions 1 to 398 of the family's 2925-position model. The record is from RNAcentral. Lineage: Bacteria; Pseudomonadati; Pseudomonadota; Alphaproteobacteria; Hyphomicrobiales; Nitrobacteraceae.